CACGUAGGCGGACAUUUAAGUCAGGGGUGAAAUCCCGGGGCUCAACCUCGGAACUGCCUUUGAUACUGGGUGUCUAGAGUAUGGAAGAGGUAAGUGGAAUUGCGAGUGUAGAGGUGAAAUUCGUAGAUAUUCGCAGGAACACCAGUGGCGAAGGCGACUGACUGGACAAGUAUUGACGCUGAGGUGCGAAAGCGUGGGGAGCAAACA
This 207-nucleotide ribosomal RNA is filed under the name uncultured bacterium. RNAcentral's name for it is "partial 16S ribosomal RNA". It matches the Rfam family "Bacterial small subunit ribosomal RNA", at positions 568 to 774 of the family's 1533-position model. The record is from RNAcentral.